Molecule: long non-coding RNA, 708 nt
Organism: Zingiber officinale
Lineage: Eukaryota; Viridiplantae; Streptophyta; Magnoliopsida; Zingiberales; Zingiberaceae
Exons: 4
Source: RefSeq, a predicted model, not a curated record
CUCCGAUCUCUCUCGUGGACAAGCGGUGGCGACGGGAGCAAGGCUCCAACUCCGACGAUCUUCCUCUACCGGCAUCGGCGGCUGUUGAGCUCAGAUCCGGGCGGCGCUAUUCCUCUUCGGAUCACAGGCACGACAUUGUGUCUCCUCUAGCCGACUACCCACCUUUCUUCCCUGAUCCGACGCCACUGGGUCGAGCAUUUGUCAUCCGAUUGCCGGCGUGAAGAAAAAUUAGGGCUACCAGCGUCGGAUUUGUCCGGUACCGACAGUGUGGGUGAGGUACCAGCCCUAGUCUUCACGAUUUUCUUGUCGGAUCCUCUUCUCUGUUCAUCGCAAGAAUUUAUCGUGCCCUAGCGGUGAUUUCGAAGGUCACGGAUUUGGAGAGGUUGGUAUCAGGGAGGUGUUGUUGGAUUAGGGGAAGGAAUCGGAUCAGACUCGUGCUAGGUUUUCCCUUGAUCGGAUCAGUGGACCUCCUCCUCCUGGCUGUUGACUGAGGUUCCGGUUUGAGUGAGGUUCGAUUCUGAUCAGUGAGGUGUGCUCGGGAUUUCAGCAAGGUUGAGUGUUGUGAACUUUCUUAGGUUCCAACAGCAGCUACCCUAACCGGCAGCUACAUUUUUGGUGGUGAUCUACUGGUGAUCACCUUGGAUUUGGGACUCUGAUUCGAGACGAGCAUCUCGACAUUGAAUUAGGACUGGAUUGUACCUUCUAUUU